GAUGAACGCUGGCGGUAUGCUUAACACAUGCAAGUCGAACGGUCACUUCGGUGAUAGUGGCGGACGGGUGAGUAACGCGUGAGAAUCUGUCCUCAGGUCGGGGACAACAGUUAGAAAUGACUGCUAAUACCGGAUGUGCCUUUGGGUGAAAGAUUUAUUGCCUGAAAAAGAGCUCGCGUCAGAUUAGCUAGUAGGUGGUGUAAGAGACUACCUAGGCUCCGAUCUGUAGCUGGUCUGAGAGGACGAUCAGCCACACUGGAACUGAGACACGGUCCAGACUCCUACGGGAGGCAGCAGUGGGGAAUUUUCCGCAAUGGGCGAAAGUCUGACGGAGCAAUACCGCGUGAGGGACGAAGGCUUUUGGGUCGUAAACCUCUUUUCUCAAGGAAGAUGAUGACGGUACUUGAGGAAUAAGCAUCGGCUAACUCUGUG
This 432-nucleotide ribosomal RNA is filed under the name uncultured bacterium. Its description in RNAcentral is "partial 16S ribosomal RNA". It matches the Rfam family "Bacterial small subunit ribosomal RNA", at positions 28 to 507 of the family's 1533-position model. The record is from RNAcentral.